UUAAGAACCUUGUUUAUCAGUCAUCAUUGAUUCUCUCUCCUCCCAAUCUUACGCACCAUGCCGGUCAGCCAACGGAGGUCGUCUCUCCUUCCUCCGUGCCUCUGUUCGCCUAUCCUUACUCUGUGCUGCCAGUCUAUGCUUUGCUUCCUCCAUCUUGGCUCCUCUAUGUCAUCUGCCUCAUCGCUGGUCUUUGCCUCCUUCGUGUGCCUCGUUGUCAUUUUCGUGUGGUUGUGUUGAAGCUCCAAAUUCCGAAGUUGCUUUGUCCUGGACUCAACUUCAACUUCUGCUUUUAUAGGAUAGUUUUGUUUUAUUUUUUCAGUUAUUAUUUAAUCUUUAUUAAUUUUUUAUGCUUAGUAUUUUUAGUUUUAAUGCAGUUUUAGAUAAACUGAUAAUUAGUUAUACUAAUUAGAUAAUAGUUUAUGAAGAUGAAUAACUUUUGUGGUAGUUUUGAUGGAGAAAUUUGUUCUAAAAAGCUGAUCAAGAAAAAAUUAUUCAGGUUUAUUGCUUACUUUGGCAGCUGCUAUGUGGCAUAGUUUUGAGCUUGAAAGAGGAUUGGGUUAAGGGAAUCUUUAUCAUGGUUAAAGUUGCCUAUGAAUCCUUCAGAUGGUGAUGAUAAUGUCAAGAUUCGCAAUAUUUAGAUUUAUUAGAUAAUAAAAAGAGAAAAAGUUUGUGAUAUUUAUUUAGAUCUCAAAUAAAUACGUUAUGUGUAAAUCUAUGUGGAUAACAUAAGAGAAGAAACAUUGGAUUUUUGAGUUCGAAAGUAACCAAUUUAAACUUGCAUAUCAUAAUUCUGUUGAAGAGAAUCCUAUUAAGGAGUGUUUGUUUUGCUAUAUCAAAGUCUCUUUACUUAUUUAUAUCACCAUACUUUUUGAUUAUUUAUUUAAUAUCAUUGUUAAUUUUGUUUUGUAUUGUUUUAUCAAGUACUUAAUUACAUCAUAACUUUUGAGUGGUAAUUGACUUUACCAAUUAUGCUUUAAACUUAGUAAAGGAAUGCAUAGGUAAGAAUGGGAAUGUACUUUAGAUUUAAUAUCUAUUUUCAUAUUAGCUAUUUUUAAGAAGUCAGACUUGAUUGUUGUUAAAAUAUUAGUGAAGGCAUGUAUUUUAAAUUUUAAUUUUUUACUUUUUAAGGAUUUUAUAUUUUUAGUUAAGUGAGACUAAGUAUACCGAUUCAAUCAGUUAUCCACUAGUUGAACUAGUAACCUAGUGACCUAGUAUUCUGACUAGUUCAAUUAUUGGUUCUGUUCUGAUAACUAUGCCCAUAGUGUCAAAAAGGAUCAUAUUAUAAAUGUGAGAGGACUUCUUCCAUCACAUCAUGUUUGGAUUGGUAAGAACCAAUUCAUGAGUUAUCCUAUUACCACUUCUCUUGACAUGGGAACAGAAAAUGGUUCGAAAAAUACUAGAUAAUCGAAGGCAAUCAGUAAUUAAAGUAGCAAAAUAGUUUCAUGCUCUUUCUAAGAUCUAAGACCUUGGAUAACUUUUAUACUAUCACUUUUCAAAAUUACUUCAAAAAAAUAACAAUAUUGGGCCAAUCUAAGGCCUAAAACAUAAGCAAAGGCUUUAGCUUCAGAGGAUAAAAGCCAACUCCUAGGUUCCAUGUGUUUGCAACUGUAAUUAGUCUCAGCAGAUUGCGAAUCACUACACGUAAUCUAAUUAAGCCAUCAUUACUCCUUAUAACAUCUACAUUAAUUUUUCAAAGAUGGGUAGGUGGGCUCUCCCGUCUAUCAGCGCUUAAUGCUCCUAGAGGAGGUUAGUCGGGCUCUUGUAUCCAUGGUUGGACCGGGUGAGCACCUUUUUAAACUCUUCAUGAUUUCUCGUUGCUAAAUCAACUACUUUUUUAGGAUGUCUCAGCUUCUCCUCGAGCAUGUAUGUGUUGUGAGCACUCCACAAAGCAAGCAGACUUACACAGAAGAGGUCUUGUCUCUCGACGUCAAGCUCGGAUAAAAUUGCAAUGAUUCAAUUAGAAAUUGAGUCGUCGGCGAUGGAAGAUGCUCGAAUUGCAAGACCAGAAGACUUUGGCAAACUCACAAUUUUUGAUAAGGUUACGGUUAGUCAGAAUGGAGCCUUUUAAGACUCACCAAACAUAAUCGAAGACUUUAGAAUAAGCUUGGAUUUUGCACAAGUUUCUCUAGUGGGAUUUGUUAUAUUUGGUUGUGACUUUUGAUAUGCUCAAGUGCUAUUCAUAGGAUAUAAUUCUGUGGUAUGCAUAUUUAAUUCUAAAGUCACCAUCUUUAGUAAAUUUCCAGAAAAAAUGAUCGUGUUGGCAACUACGGUGAAUUUUUUUUGUCCUAAUUGAUCUCACAUCUUCUACCUUCUAUAAACCUCCCAUUUCUAAGAUAGAUUUGCUACUCCAAAUACUCCUCAAAGUAUAGCUAGGUGUGUGACCUACUACUGAAUCUAAGAAGCUAGUUUUGGUGUAGUAUCUGGCACUAAUAACUCUAGCUGCUAAGAAAUUUAGACGUCUGUCUUUGCUAAAAGAGCGUGAUUAAAAGCCUCAAAGUUUCCAAAAUCUAGCUUGCCUUCCACUUUUUCUUUACUCAGUUUUUUCUAACUCACCCAAUGAAUUUUGAAUAGAAUUUACAAAAUCACAUCUAGAUGUUGACAAAAGCUUUUAGGAAUGAGAAAACAUCCCAUAAUAUUGGUUGGGAUGGAUUGAACAACAGUUAUAAUGAGAAUUUCUUUGCCACUCUAGAUAGGUAUCCCUCCUUCUAACCUUUUAGCUUCUCCCAAACUCUUUUCUGAAAUCAAAUACUUCUCUUUCGGAUCUUUCUACAAAGGUAGGGAGACCCAAGUAUUUAGAAUGGUAAUUCAACGCCUUUAUCCCAAGCUAUUGUUGAAUGAGGAUUUGCCUAUUAGUUGGUAUGUUUUGGCUGAAAUAAACUUCCGAUUUGUCUAGGUUUAUCCUUUGACAAAAAGCUAACCGGUAAAUUCAGGAAACAUCUAUGAUUUUCUUUAUGUCCUAGUUUGUAGCUCUAAAGAAUACGAUGCUAUCGUACACAAAGAAGAGGUGAUUAAUCUGUGGUGCUUGUCUGACAAUUUUAAUUCUCCAGAUAAGUUUACUAUUCUAAAAGAACUUAAGCACAUAAAAUAAAGAGAUAAUGGGAUAUUAGAUUUCCUUAUCGAAUUCCUCUAUAGGGUUUAAAGGUAUUGCUAGGGGUUUAAUUUAGAAGGAUUGAGAAGGAGAUCGUGGAGAAGGAUACUCAAGGCCUACCCUGCAACCACCAUCAAACCUUGCUCGAAAUAUAUCUGACUUGACUAAACAAACUCGACGAGCAUAGAAUCUUUUUCCUGUAGAAGAAAAACAGGACAAAUCAGUACAUAAACAAGAAUCAACUAUAAAUUUUAAAAAUAAAAAAUAAAUAAAAAAGAAUUUAGCAGCAACAUAUCCACCUUCAACCAAGAAUGUGACAUCAGAGAGUUUUGAAUUGUUAACACAGUGUUUGCCUAAGCACUCCUACAUAAAUAUAAAUAGAUAUUAAUGCAAAGUUGUGGGCAAAAGGUUUUAAGGAAUCACUUUACCUUUAUUUUUCAUUGAUGUAUAAACCCAAAAAAACUAAAAUUAAAUAAAAUAAAAAGAAUAGCCAAAGUACAUGGGGAGUUAGCGAUGAAGGUGCAACAUCAAUAAGAAUCAUAUUCAAUAAAACACUCAUCAUAGGAUUCUAUAAUUUGCAAGAAAACUCACUUUUCUCUAGAUCUUCUCCUCAAAUCUUGUUAAGAUUUUUGUUACACACUUUCUAGUUGACUACAAGUCAAACAAAAACCAAUUAAACUUAUGAAUUAUAGAGAGAUAGAACUAUAGAAACUCUACUUAAGAACAUAAACAAUUUUAUUAUCAUCAAAGACAAAUACCAAUAAAUUAAACACAAGUCAAUAUAUGAUACUAGGGAGUAAAGGAAAGAAGGGCAUACUUGAGCUUUGAAACUUUCAUCCUAAAGUUUGUGAAAACCACCAGCCUUAACACAAAGAAGAAACCCAACCAUGAACUUACAAAUUUACAUUAUAUAUUCUUUUGGAAAGCUUCUAUCGAAUAGAGACUAUCAGAACAAGAUGUAGAUAUAAAAAUCUUAAGAUUUCUUUAUCACAAUAUUAUCACCAACAUCUCAAGAUACUGAAUAUUAAAA
Non-coding RNA from Arachis ipaensis, 4118 nucleotides. Lineage: Eukaryota; Viridiplantae; Streptophyta; Magnoliopsida; Fabales; Fabaceae. The record is from RefSeq and is a predicted model, not a curated record.